This 232-nucleotide long non-coding RNA is filed under the name Mytilus galloprovincialis (Mediterranean mussel). The record is from RNAcentral. Lineage: Eukaryota; Metazoa; Mollusca; Bivalvia; Mytilida; Mytilidae.
UUUGGGAUCAACAAUUCUUUUGUCAGCUGUACAUGUGCUACAAUGUAUUCAUGCGUCUGUAGUCAUUAUCAUAAGAAUCAUGAUUUCUUUCAUAGAUGGUGAGUUUUCAUUGGCGACUCCAAUCCCUAUAUCGCACAAAUAUUUAAAUGGCCUACAUGUACAAAGAAAAUUUACAGAAAUAAAUGAUGUUUGGCACACAAUUUGGAAAUGUAUGACGUUUUUAAUGCAAUCA